UGGGGAAUAUAUAUAACAUGUUAUUAUGCUUUUAAAAGAAAGAAAAGACAAAGACAGAGCAAAGAUAGUCGGGUAAGUUUGAACCUUAUCGGCCAAGGCUGAACUUCUUACAAAAUCUAUCUUUGUGGCUCUGUCAGAGGUCUAAAAGCUUUUAGAGGGGUUGACAGGGGAGAAGAGGAUACAAAAUGAAUCGAUACCACCAAGAACAAGGUAGCAGAGCUAUUACAGGGGUUUGGGAAGGUUUAUCCCGAAUGGGAUGAAAGCUUGUGCUGACUACAGCUUCGUUGAAGGCAAAUCUGGCUUGAGCAGAGUUUUGGCUUUUGUUUGUUUGAUUGAGUGUCUUUAAUUCUGUCUUCUCUUCCUCCUUUUAUAGACGACUUCAGCUUGGGUUCCUGUAGCAAUAGCGGUGCCCGAAUGCGGUUUGGUGAUGACUCACUAGCUUUUUUACAUGAAUGCCACCAAUAAAGUACUUUAUUGGGCUAU
Molecule: long non-coding RNA, 483 nt
Filed under: Malus domestica (apple)
Lineage: Eukaryota; Viridiplantae; Streptophyta; Magnoliopsida; Rosales; Rosaceae
Description: long non-coding RNA (MDOM_LNC002598)
Source: RNAcentral